GUACACUCCUACGGGAGGCAGCAGUGGGGAAUUUUGGACAAUGGGCGAAAGCCUGAUCCAGCCAUGCCGCGUGCAGGAUGAAGGCCUUCGGGUUGUAAACUGCUUUUGUACGGAACGAAACGGCCUUUUCUAAUAAAGAGGGCUAAUGACGGUACCGUAAGAAUAAGCACCGGCUAACUACGUGCCAGCAGCCGCGGUAAUACGUAGGGUGCAAGCGUUAAUCGGAAUUACUGGGCGUAAAGCGUGCGCAGGCGGUUAUGUAAGACAGUUGUGAAAUCCCCGGGCUCAACCUGGGAACUGCAUCUGUGACUGCAUAGCUAGAGUACGGUAGAGGGGGAUGGAAUUCCGCGUGUAGCAGUGAAAUGCGUAGAUAUGCGGAGGAACACCGAUGGCGAAGGCAAUCCCCUGGACCUGUACUGACGCUCAUGCACGAAAGCGUGGGGAGCAAACAGGAUUAGAAACCCUGGUAGUCCCA
This 475-nucleotide ribosomal RNA is filed under the name uncultured organism. RNAcentral's name for it is "partial 16S ribosomal RNA". It matches the Rfam family "Bacterial small subunit ribosomal RNA", at positions 331 to 797 of the family's 1533-position model. The record is from RNAcentral.